UAUUGAAUUUGCUCUUAAUUUAGAAUACUUGGAAGCUGAGUUCUUUUUGUAUGGAUCAUUAGGCCAUGGAUUGGAUGAAGUUGCUCCGGAGUUAGCAGAGGGUGGACCUCCUCCUAUUGGUGCUAAAUUGGCUAUAUUAGGUCCACUUGUUAAGAUUUUGUAUGGAUCAUUAGGCCAUGGAUUGGAUGAAGUUGCUCCGGAGUUAGCAGAGGGUGGACCUCCUCCUAUUGGUGCUAAAUUGGCUAUAUUAGGUCCACUUGUUAAGGAUAUCAUCUUUCAGUUUGGUAUCCAAGAAGUUGGACAUUUAAGGUUAUUUUUCUAUUACUUUGUUUAACUCAUCUCUAUAGUAUUUUUUUCUAAGUUUUGAAGUAAAAUUGUUUGAAU
This 384-nucleotide long non-coding RNA is filed under the name Lathyrus oleraceus (garden pea). Its description in RNAcentral is "Pisum sativum (pea) long non-coding RNA (PSAT_LNC003260)". Lineage: Eukaryota; Viridiplantae; Streptophyta; Magnoliopsida; Fabales; Fabaceae. The record is from RNAcentral.